Cucumis melo (muskmelon) is the source of this 3807-nucleotide RNA transcript. It is a transcript of the gene named pentatricopeptide repeat-containing protein At3g54980, mitochondrial, with no coding region annotated. Lineage: Eukaryota; Viridiplantae; Streptophyta; Magnoliopsida; Cucurbitales; Cucurbitaceae. The record is from RefSeq and is a predicted model, not a curated record. The transcript has 5 exons.
CAAACUUACCCUCUCUCUCGCACGCUCACCCUCUCCUUGUAGUCUCAACCGUUCCCACCACCCUCACGCCACAUUCCCGCCGUCGACCGCCUCCUUCACGUCAGCACCCAAGCUGGUACCGUCGCACGCCGCGGCAGUCAGUCGGAGGUACGCAAGUCGGUCUCUUUCUCUCUCUCUCUCUCCAUUGCAGCUACUGCCGUCUUCAGUCGCCGGGCACCACCUUCGGUUGUCUAAGAUCCACGUAAAGCAGAAGCAGCAGCUCAAAAAUGCUGAAUUUUUCUCAGUUGGGCAUCCGUCUACGUUACCCACGAUUCGUUGGACCUUGAAUUGUCUCACCCAUUCGGUUCCGGCUUCCAAUCUCAGUUUUUCAACAGUUUGGAACGCUAUACAGCAAGGUGGUUUAAUUUUAAGGAGAGGCGACCGACCUUGAAUCAGAAAUUUCUUGCAUAUAUUGUAUAAGGUUUAUCAAACGGCUUCUAUUUGGGUCUCAAAAGUUGAAACGGAUCUGAGAUUGUGAUUUAGGAUUGGACUGCGACAUUUGUAAGUCGAAGGGCAAUUCAUUUUGUUGCUGAAAAUUUGUUGAGGCACUUUUAUCAACGAUCAGAUUUGUUCUUCAGGUUGUACAACUGUCUCCUUGAGUUUUAAGGCACUUUUAUUGAGAAAUAGACAUGAGAAAUCAUUCAUCAAAUUCAUCAUUGCUUCUCAGCUCCCUUUUUAAAAAAAAAUCUUUUAGUUCGCUAUCAGAAAUUCCAGGAAAGACUAUCAUACAGUUGUCAUCUUCUGAGGAUAUCAAGCACAACAUUGAUGCUUCUGUGGAAACCUCUUCUAAAGUGGCAUGUCAGACCAACUUAGUUUCUUUAGAGUCCAUUAAUGGAAAUUGUGAUACCUCUCUCAAUUCAGCUCUAACUGAAAGUCAUGUGAUAAACACUCUUUUAAACAGCAAAAGUGAUCCAACGUCAGCAUUGAAGUACUUCAAAAGGAUUAAGAAGAAGAUAGAAUUUGCCAAACGCACUGAUGCUGUAUGUAUCUUGCUUCUCAUUUUGACAAAUUCGGCAGAGACACAUAGAGCUCAGUAUUUGUUUGAUCAAUUUGCUUCAGGAAAAUCAGUCCACCCUAGUUGUCUUAUGGACCGUUUAGUGGAAUGCACAAAACUGUACAGUUUUCCAUUGGAUAUUCAGGUUUUUAAUUAUUUGUUGAAAAGUUACGUUAGAGCAAACAAAAUUGAAGAAGCUCUUCAUUGUUUUAAUAAAAUUGUAGAAUUUGAUAUGACGCCAUCAAUUCAGUGUGUGAAUAUUCUUUUGACUGCCAUGGUUAGGAAAAACAUGACUUGUGAAGCACGGGAGUUGUACAACAAAAUGUUGCUGAUAGGAGUUCCAGGCGACUGUUUUACAUUACAUGUUAUGUUGCGUGCUUGUUUGAAGGAAGGGAAUAUUUUGGAGGCAGAGCAACAUUUUUUACAAGCGAAAGCAAGAGGAGUGAAACUUGAUCAAGAAGCUUAUAGUACAUUUGUUCGUCUAGUUUGUUUGAAACCAAACUCUGGAUAUGCUUCAUCUUUGUUAAGAGAGAUGAGGGCAGCAGGUUGGGUUCCUUCCGAAGGUACAUUUACAAGUGUUAUUACUGCUUGUGUAAAGGAAGGGAAUAUGGCAGAGGCUUUGAGGCUGAAAGAUGAUAUGGUUAAUUGUGGAAAGUUUAUGAAUUUGGCUGUUGCAACAAGUUUAAUGAAGGGUUAUUGCAUGCAAGGAGACCUCAGAAGUGCUUUAGUUCUCGUGAAUGAAAUAGGCAAGAGUGGUUUGGUGCCCAACAAAGUUACAUACUCUGUUCUGAUUGAUGGUUGUUGUAAGAAUGGGAAUAUUGAAAAGGCAUUUGAGUUUUUCUCUGAAAUGAAAACUAAGGGCAUUCAGCCAAGUGUUUAUUCUUUGAAUUCUAUAGUAGAAGGGUAUUUGAAAUGUCACUCUUGGCAAAAUGCAUUCACGAUGUUUAAUGAUGCACUUGAGAGUGGUCUUGCAAAUGUUUUCACGUUUAAUACUUUAUUGUCCUGGCUUUGUAAGGAGGGUAAGAUGAAUGAAGCUUGCAAUUUAUGGGAUGAGGUGAUUGCUAAGGGUAUCAGUCCUAAUGUAGUUUCGUACAAUAACAUUAUACUUGGUCACUGUAGAAAAGAUAAUAUUAAUGCAGCAUGUAAGGUGUACAAGGAGAUGCUAGAUAAUGGGUUUACCCCAAAUGCAGUUACCUUUACUAUUCUAAUGGAUGGUUAUUUUAAGAAAGGGGAUAUCGAGAAUGCUUUUAGUAUAUUUCACAGGAUGAAAGAUGCUAACAUUCUACCCACAGACAUCACAUUAGGUAUUAUCAUCAAAGGUUUGUGCAAAACUGGUCGAACCUCUGAGGGAAGGGAUUUGUUCAAUAAGUUUGUUUCUCAAGGCUUUAUUCCUACUUGUAUGCCUUACAAUACUAUUAUUGAUGGUUUCAUCAAGGAAGGCAAUAUUAAUUUGGCGUCGAAUGUGUAUAGGGAAAUGUGUGAAGUAGGCAUUACUCCUAGCACUGUCACCUAUACAUCCUUGAUUGAUGGAUUUUGUAAAGGCAAUAAUAUAGAUCUUGCUUUAAAGUUGCUGAACGAUAUGAAAAGGAAGGGUCUUGAAAUGGACAUUAAAGCAUAUGGCACACUCAUAGACGGUUUUUGCAAAAGAAGGGAUAUGAAAAGUGCGAACGAACUUCUUAACGAACUUCGGGGAGCUGGUUUAUCUCCAAAUCGUUUCAUUUACAAUAGCAUGAUUGCUGGGUUUAAGAAUAUGAACAACAUAGAAGCAGCUAUUGACUUGUAUAAGAAUAUGGUGAAUGAGGGUAUUCCGUGUGAUUUGAAAACAUAUACCUCAAUGAUUGAUGGAUUGCUGAAAAAUGGAAGACUUCUCUAUGCAUCAGAUAUCCACACCGAAAUGCUUUCUAGGGGUAUAUUGCCUGAUGAUCGGGCACAAACGGUUCUAAUCAAUGGUCUUUGUAACAAAGGGCAAUUUGAGAACGCACGCAAGAUUUUGGAGGAUAUGAAUGGAAAAAACAUGAUUCCUAGUGUUCUCAUUUAUAAUACAUUAAUAGCUGGGCACUUUAAGGAAGGGAAUUUGCAAGAAGCUUUUAGGUUGCAUGAUGAGAUGCUUGAUAGAGGUCUUGUUCCUGAUAAUAUUACCUAUGAUAUUCUUGUCAAUGGAAAGUUCAAAGGAGAUGGUAAUUUUAGUAGAGAUUUGAGUUUCUAAGUAGCUAGACUCGCCCUUCUAUAAUGUUCCCAAAGGAAGCGUGGUCAUUAGGUGCAUUUUCUUAUUCACAUUUUGGAUAAGUCAAAAAGGUUUCAUGUCUUGGCUCACCCUCAGUUUCAAAGAGAUUUGAGUGAUUCAAAGUCAUUUGGAAAGCUUUGAAUGAAUUAUGAACAAAUUAGAGCUAAUCAAACUAAAUUGACCAACCAAGUUAUGAAAUAUCAAGUUCAAGCCAAUAGAUUUGAGAGGAAGCAUCUCAACGCCAUGAAUGGAGAAGAACAAAAAUGAAAAAGGAGAUGAGACGACAAUGACGAAGUAUGAAAGGAGAGAGAAGGAUGGAGAACGAAGUGGUCUUCAUCUCAAACUCUCUAGCAAUGAGAGGGUGUCUCAUAUACAGAGGGAGAUCUAAGCGUUCACUCACUGAGUUAGGUCGUCUAUAUAUCAUUGUAGAAAUCUCGUAUUUAUAGAUAAUUGCAAUAUUGUAGUUCAUUAGCUUUUCUGUCUUUCCUUGGGCAUUGCCUUCUUAGUGUAUGUGACGUUGCAUCGAAUUAAGUUAUCAAAUUUUGUGUAA